This 301-nucleotide ribosomal RNA is filed under the name uncultured bacterium. Its description in RNAcentral is "partial 16S ribosomal RNA". It matches the Rfam family "Bacterial small subunit ribosomal RNA", at positions 509 to 809 of the family's 1533-position model. The record is from RNAcentral.
CAGUCGCCACGGGAAUACAGAGGGUGCAAGCGUUAAUCGGAAUUACUGGGCGUAAAGCGCGCGUAGGUGGUUUGUUAAGUCGGAUGUGAAAUCCCUGAGCUUAACUUAGGAAUUGCAUUCGAUACUGGGAAGCUAGAGUAUGGGAGAGGAUGGUAGAAUUCCAGGUGUAGCGGUGAAAUGCGUAGAGAUCUGGAGGAAUACCGAUGGCGAAGGCAGCCAUCUGGCCUAAUACUGACGCUGAGGUACGAAAGCAUGGGGAGCAAACAGGAUUAGAUACCCCCGUAGUCCCUGUCUCUUAUAA